Molecule: unclassified non-coding RNA, 4282 nt
Filed under: Leishmania donovani
Lineage: Eukaryota; Euglenozoa; Kinetoplastea; Trypanosomatida; Trypanosomatidae
Description: gene:LdHU3.27.2890(CDS-product:Rab-GTPase-TBC_dom ain_containing_protein_putative)
Source: RNAcentral
CACUCCCACUCAAACUUUUUUUUUGGCGAGGCUACUUUGCUUGCGUGCCCGUUUUCUCUUCUCGGCGCUCGAUCCACUGGGCGACCCGGAAUUUGUGCCGCGUGUGCCGCAGAGGUAGAUGAACUCUGCGGCUGGCUGAGGCGUCUAUUUGUUGACGGGCUCUUGGUAGAAUGGGCAUGCGUUGAAAUACGGAGACACUUCUCUAUCUCGUCCUAUCCUGCUCAGGUCUUCUUCAGAGCUGUUACUUCUCGCCCUCUUCUCUAUUUUCACAAUCGCCGUUCUUGUCGUUGUCUUGGUUGCAGCAGCUGACACACAGCGUAUACUGGCUUCUAUACGCGCACGCGAGUGUGUCUCUCUCGUUCUUCACCAUCUGUGCUUGAUCUGAUCACAGACUAAAGCGCGAUCGUCCAUACGGGUUUGCAUCGCCACACCCAAAAUGAUGGCGGUGGCGCCGACGCAAGACGUGCCAUCGGUGUCUUGCGGCGCGUCAAGAUUGCCUGAAUUCUUUUCGACACCGUCAAGCUCUCCACUGCAAAACCGUUCUGGCGCUGCUGCGCACCCCGGGAGACGGCCUUCAGAGUUCCAGCCGCCUCACAGUACCAUUGCUACUCUCGUCGCGGGCAUGGAAGAGGACGGAGCUGUAGGCUUUCUUCCCUUCUGUGUGCAACGCCUGCGCGGACCAGGUAGAGUGCGCCGCGUUCCGCCAGGCACAGCGUACCGCUCUGCUGGCGCGCUGCUGCGUCGCCUGCUGCGCUACAACGAGGAUGGCGAGGUGCGCGUAGAGGUGGUGCGUGAGGCUGUCGGCGGAAUGAGCCUUGGCGCUGGGUACACGGAAGGACGGCAAACUACCGCUGCUGUAGCAGCGGCAUCAGAAGAGCUUCGGGAGGACCCGCAGCACCAGCAUCAGCAGCAGCAGCAGAUUGCCGUGACGCAGCGCUCACAGCCGAAGAACCAGGAUACCAAGAGCACCCGCACGAGAAGCCAAGCUCGACGCGAGCGUGCUUCCAUUUUGGCGAUGGAGACGGAGCGACGGUACGCUGCCGAGCAGGAGUCCAGAUUGUCGUUUCUUUUACAGGCACUGCCACUGCUCCGCGUGGUGCCACCGCAGUGUCUGCUGCAGCAGGCCUACACGGAGGAGCUAGUGUCUGAGCCUGGGAGUGACGUGUUCACGCCACCGAACAUAAGCAGAAGCUUCAACCCUAGCCCGCCAGCAUCGUCGUCAGCCGUCGUGGCUCACAGAGAUCCGUCGCAGCUGGGUUCGGGCAGCAGCAGCAGCAGUGAUGUGGACGGUGAUGGCCGAAACACAGGCGGUAACGCCGGCCAGCGUGGCGCCGCGACGGCGACGAAUUCUUACGUACGCGGAGCCUACAGACUCGGCCUCGGCUUUGCAGUUCUCCUCACCCCCGAGGAGGCGGCUGGGUUACACGAGACACCGCCGCGCCGAACAUCAGCACAACGCGCCAGUACCGCCGCCACUGCUGGCGGCAGUGGAGUCGGCGACGGCAAGGACCGCACUUCCUCGCUCAACCUGCUUAGCACUGUGAAUACCACGGCAGCUCCCAGCAGGGCUGAAAGCUUGCUCACCACCGUCCAUGAGGAGGCAGCGUCAACGCGUGCAGCAGCGACGAGCCGCAGCACCGACGUUUUAGCAGGGAAGCCGCCAGUAUCCGUGGAGGUGGCGGCCGAGAGCGCGCAGGCAGCAGCAGCUGCAGCAGCAACUCUCAACGGCAUUGUCAUCGACAGCGGCUUUGGCGUCACUAUCAAGGUUGGCGGCUCCUGCGACGAGCCCAACUCGCUUCGGUGUGUCGCGUGGGGUGGCUGCCGCCCAGCAUUGCUGCGAGCGGUGGUGUGGCGGUUGCUGAGCGACUACGCGCCUGCCGCCGUCACGCGGCAGAAAGCGGAGCUGCAGCGCAAGCGCCGCCAGUACGAGGGCUACACGCGGCAGUACUGUAGCGCUCUGACGAUGCUGUCACUGAGAGAGUCGCCGUCGACAUUGCCAUCGAUGUUGCCGCUGUCGUGCUCACACGGGGGUGGCGGAGCUGUCGGCGCUCCUGGCCUUCGCGAGGCGGCAUCACUGUCACGGCUUCCCGGCAACGGACUACCACCGAACAAUGGCCAUGGUCUGACACUCAGCGGCGGCGCAUCGUCCACGUCGGCGGUGACGUCCCUCUCGCCCUACGAGCGCGCUAUUCUCCAACAGAUGCUGCUGGACCUGCCGCGCCACCAGUCUCCCAUCUUUCAUGCCGGCCGCUCCCUAGCGGGCAUGGCGCGCUGCUUGUUUCUCUGGUCCCAGCGGCACCCUGCCGUCGGCUACGUGCAGGGCAUGGAUGACGUGGUCGCAGUUUUCUAUCAUGUCUUCCUUGCGGACGCGCUGCGGCAGCUCGCGCGGGUGUCGGCGCAGGCUGCCACGUGCACGCGUGCGUCUCACCGCCAGACGGCCACGCACGAAGGUGCUCGGAGAACAAGCGGGACGGCAGCGGCAGCUCGCUUGGACAGUGGAAGCGACGACGGCGAGGGAGACGACAGUGACGAUAAAGCUGCCUCGGCGAACGGCGCGGAGUUGGGCAGCAUGGCCUGUGACAAGGGCACGCGAGCCGUUAUGCGUCUGCUGGUGUCGUCGCUCUCUGCCUCGGUGCAGCGGACAUCCUGGUCUUCCACAGCCGCGUCGACACCGACGGCGUUGGCGACGCCAAUCACCAUGACGACGCUCGGCACGCCUGCCACUCGGGCCACCACAGCUGCGGCGCUCUCCCCCUACCUUUCCGAGGAGGACCUUGACGUGCUGUCCGACACACCCGCCGCUCUGGACGCGAUGCUGGCGGAGUUACCGGAGAGCUAUCUGACGCAGGUCGAGGGUGACACGUACUGGUGCGCCGGCCGUGUUCUGUCGCUGCUGCAGGACAACUUCAUGCCGGGCCAGCCGGGCAUCUUACGCAAUGUACGUCGCCUUGAGGCCCUCGUGCGCGCUGUCGACCCUUCUCUCAUUGCCUUUCUGGACGGGUAUGGCUUGACUGUGAUGGACGGCUGCUUCCAAUGGCUGCACUGUCUACUGGCACGUGAGCUGCCGCUGCCGCUGCUGCUGCGUCUGUGGGAUUGCUACCUGGCGAUCGGGAUUGGUGGCGAUCGUGCGCCACCGACGACUGCAGCGGCCAGCGGCGCUCUCACGACUUCUUCGCUGGCCGCCACCGUGGCAGCGCAAGGGUCCUCAGCGAGCGACGAGGAGAUCAUGCACUUCCACGUUUGUGUGUGCUGUGCGUUGCUCCGCAAUCUGCGCGCCAACCUGCUCGAUAACUCCUCGCAAACUUCCACUCUGAAUGCACCAGCGGCGACUAGCGGAAGGUGGGGCGCGGCGGCUCUCGCCACGGUGCUGCCCAUCUUCGGCUCGCGCACCACACACCAGGAGGGGAGCAGCGCCGCGGCACCUUCAGCAGCAGACGCAGCCGCAUGUUCGGGCACGUCUUCGACAGCUGAACCGCCUAUUGACGUCGUGAUGAACGCGCUGAAGCAUCCGUUCGAGGCGCUCUUUCCCCAGUACGCGUCCGCGAAGCAGGAGCAACAGCAUCCGCUGGAUAGGGAAGACAAGCAUGAGCGGUGCGGCGAGCGCGCACGGGCGCGGGCGUUGGAGGCGGCGAUGCGGUGGCUGGACAUCCUCAUUGCCGACGCUUACUGCAUCUGGCGGAAGCAUCCGAUGCAUGGUUGAGGUGCAUCUCUGGCAUAGGGGCGCUUACAUGUGUGUAGGUGCUCUCUGCCUUCCAGCUAGUGAAGUACACCGGUGCUGAGGCGGCGAUGUGAGCGUCCCUGUGAAUGCGAGGAGGGGAUGGUGAUGGUGAUGAAGGAGGAUAAGGAGAGAGCGUGUUGCACCAGUGUGCGAGAAAGGCGAGUGCGCGAACCCCGGCACAAACCCAAGCGCUCCUCUCUCUUUUCUUCCCUUGCGUCUUUGCUGACGUGUACUCGUCGUGCGUGUGCGGCUCCAUAUUCGUUGAGCAUGGCGUACUUCUCUGCGGCCCUUCCCCCUUCUACUGCCUCUUACGCUGUUUCGCUUUCGUCGCUGUAUCUCUUCUCCUUGGACCGCAUCCCUACCAGCUCACGCCGCACGCUGUCUUGAUACUUGCUUGCGAGAUACGGCGACGGCAACUUGCUGCUCCCAGGGACACGCCAGCUCACAUAAACGCGGUUUGUCUGCCUGCCUUUGCAUUCCUUUCGGUGCCUCUUGCCAUUGUGUGCGCUCUCCCUCUUCUUUGGUGACAGUGAUGGUUUCUGAAGGUCCGAAGCAAACAACUCU